UAGGGAAUCUUCGGCAAUGGACGGAAGUCUGACCGAGCAACGCCGCGUGAGUGAAGAAGGUUUUCGGAUCGUAAAGCUCUGUUGUUAGAGAAGAACGUUGGUAGGAGUGGAAAAUCUACCAAGUGACGGUAACUAACCAGAAAGGGACGGCUAACUACGUGCCAGCAGCCGCGGUAAUACGUAGGUCCCGAGCGUUGUCCGGAUUUAUUGGGCGUAAAGCGAGCGCAGGCGGUUCUUUAAGUCUGAAGUUAAAGGCAGUGGCUUAACCAUUGUACGCUUUGGAAACUGGAGGACUUGAGUGCAGAAGGGGAGAGUGGAAUUCCAUGUGUAGCGGUGAAAUGCGUAGAUAUAUGGAGGAACACCGGUGGCGAAAGCGGCUCUCUGGUCUGUAACUGACGCUGAGGCUCGAAAGCGUGGGGAGCAAACAGGAUUAGAUACCCUGGUAGUCCACGCCGUAACGAUGAGUGCUAGGUGUUAGGCCCUUUCCGGGGCUUAGUGCCGCAGCUAACGCAUUAAGCACUCCGCCUGGGGAGUACGACCGCAAGGUUG
Molecule: ribosomal RNA, 549 nt
Filed under: uncultured bacterium
Lineage: Bacteria
Description: bacterial SSU rRNA
Rfam family: Bacterial small subunit ribosomal RNA
Source: RNAcentral